UGUAAACAUCUUUAACUGAAAGC
This 23-nucleotide microRNA is filed under the name Callorhinchus milii (elephant shark). RNAcentral's name for it is "eshark_mir-30_2". The record is from RNAcentral. Lineage: Eukaryota; Metazoa; Chordata; Chondrichthyes; Chimaeriformes; Callorhinchidae.